RNAcentral lists this ribosomal RNA (454 nucleotides) under uncultured bacterium. Its description in RNAcentral is "bacterial SSU rRNA". It matches the Rfam family "Bacterial small subunit ribosomal RNA", at positions 28 to 481 of the family's 1533-position model. The record is from RNAcentral.
GAUGAACGCUGGCGGCGUGCCUAACACAUGCAAGUCGAACGGAGUUACUUUGGUGAAGUUUUCGGAUGGAUCUGAUUUAACUUAGUGGCGGACGGGUGAGUAAUGCGUGAGCAACCUGCCCUUCAGAGGGGGACAACAGUUGGAAACGACUGCUAAUACCGCAUAAUGUAUCCGGGAGGCAUCUCCUGGAUACCAAAGGAGAAAUCCGCUGAUGGAUGGGCUCACGUCUGAUUAGCUAGUUGGUGAGGUAACGGCCCACCAAGGCGACGAUCGGUAGCCGGACUGAGAGGUUGAACGGCCACAUUGGGACUGAGACACGGCCCAGACUCCUACGGGAGGCAGCAGUGGGGAAUAUUGCACAAUGGGGGAAACCCUGAUGCAGCGACGCCGCGUGGAGGAAGAAGGUCUUCGGAUUGUAAACUCCUGUUGUUGAGGAAGAUAAUGACGGUACUCA